UGAGUGCGUAGUUAGGCUAGGCGUGCGUAGUAAUCACGGGCCGAGACGGGUGGUCCGGUAAAGUACAAUCCAGCCGAGAGGCUUAGACGGUCAUACAGUACACGCCCAUCAUUUUAUUCAUCGCUAUGGAUCAGCGGGACAUGGAAAAAGAGAUAUCUCUACAGAAGGUUGUUAUAAAUGAGCUGGAGCAAGUGAAGAAAACCUCAAAGGUGUACAAAAAGCAACAGAACAGCUCUAUUUUCUUCCUUUCAUCUAUUGACAAGGAAAUGGCAGCAGCUCGAAAUAACCUGAACAGUCUGACAAAAGAGUAUCAAGAAGUGGAACAAGCGCCGGGCUCAACAGCAGACGUGACAGGGUCAUGACAAUCUCUCGGAGUUAGAGAACGUCUCCCGCGAGUCAUCAACUGAUUCAGCCGGCACUGAAAUGUUUCGUAAUGGCUCGGGUAUGCUGAUCAAAAUGCUGAUAAGAUGCACUGAAUUUCAACACAGCACUAUGUAUUGUAUAUAUGAAAACAACUAGAAUUGAAAGAGUUCUUAUUAUAAGAAACACGGAAUUUCAACUAAGUACUGUGUAUUGUAUAUGAAAACAACCAGAAUUGAAAGAGCUUUUAUUACAAGAUACUCUGAGUUUCAACAAAGUACUGUGUAUUGUAUAUGAAAACAACUAGAAUUGAAAGAGUUCUUAUUAUAAGAUACCCUGCAUUUCAACAAAGUACUGUGUAUUGUAUAUGAAAACAACCGGAAUUGAAAGAGCUUUUAUUACAAGAUACUCUGAGUUUCAACAAAGUACUGUGUAUUGUAUAUGAAAACAACCGGAAUUGAAAGAGUUCUUACUAUAAGAUACAAGGUACUAUGUAUUGUAUUUAUAUGUAUGUAUGAAAACAACCAAAAUUGAAAGAGUUCUUAUUAUUUUAUAAGAUACCCUGAAUUUCAACGCACACUAUGUAUUGUAUAUAUGAAAACAAUCGGAAUUGAAAGAGUUCUUAUUAUAAGAUACACAGUUGAAUUUCAACAAAGUACUAUACAGCCAAAAUUGAAAGAGCUCUUUUUAUAUUAUAAGGUACUCUGAAUUUCAACACAGUACUAUGCAAUGUAUAUGAAAACAACCGGAAUUGAAAGUUCUACUCAAGCAAAGAAAAGAAAAGGUUUUAGAGGCAAGUAAGAAAAAGAUAUCCAAGUUGAUUAGUUGAAAGAGGUUUUAGUUUUUGUAAGUGUUUGUUUUACAGCACUUGCAGCACAAUAAAGUCAUAUAAGUGCAGAAGAUUAGAGGUGUUACUAGAGAGUAACAAGCAUAAAAAAGGAGGAGGAUAGAUGUUUGAUAGGAAAGAAGCAAACCACUCCAGAGCACCCGCCGACCACCCACUUGAAAGAGGUAAACAAAUAAAUUUAACAAGAACAAAAAGAUAGAAGUUGACCAACCCACCAUUUUCUGUCUAUUUUUAUUAUCCAAUUGCACUGAAAGGGUAGGGAAAUGAAGGUCCAUCCAUAUUGACAUAGUUUGGGGGCGGAAUUGUAGCAGAUAUUCUAGAACUGGUGACGGGAGGGUAGUUUCCUCACAGGUGCGUGAUUAUUAUAAAGAAUUC
This 1582-nucleotide long non-coding RNA is filed under the name Aplysia californica (California sea hare). RNAcentral describes it as "aSNSD1 upstream open reading frame protein". Lineage: Eukaryota; Metazoa; Mollusca; Gastropoda; Aplysiida; Aplysiidae. The record is from RNAcentral.